GUUAUACAAAAUACCCCUUGCUCAUUAAUAAAUAAUAGUCCUCUAUUAUUUCUACUCAAUUCCAACGGAUUACCCUAAAAAUCAAAUGGCAAGUCAGUUUCAAGAAGUCUUGGUUUUCUGCUCAAUCACUCCAAGAUGCUAAGGCUUUUUGAAAUAGAUUAUAUGAAUAUUCAGGUCAGUCUGUUUUCUGCAGUGACUCAUAAUUGGGAUUCAGACAGGACCAGACUUGUCUGCUGAUGUGGUAUGGCAGGCCUGCCAGAAGGCUUGCUUUGUUUUGUUGGUUGAAAAGGAAAGAGGCAGGCGCCCAAGUCCCAAAGGGAAGCAGCUGUAGGGUAAAGGGUUAGAAUUUCAGCGGCAUUCCUUGGGCAGCCCCGUGGGUGUGGGGUUGAGUCGAUGGAGAGAACAGCUGCAGGCAGAAGCUGAAGGAACUGUUUUUAUAGGGGCCUCUGUGUGACACCCUGAGACAUGAGGAUGUGGGCAGUGCCACGAUUAUGCCCAGGAAAGAAAACCAUGUGGAUAGCUGAGAUCUUCUGUGAAGAAAGGAAAAGACAAAAGGCCGUAGAUCCAAAACUUAUAGAAAAUCAACGUUUAGAAUUUCAACUGUGGAGGAAGGACCAAAAAAAUGCAAGAAGCAGGCAGACGCUUUACCAUCUGAGCCUCCAGGAAAGCUCUAGAAUGAAGAGGAGAAUGAAGAGACGAAGCCAAAGCAACAACACCACCCAGUUGUGGAUGUGACUGGUGAUAGAAGCAAGGUCCGAUCCUGUNNNNNNNNNNNNNNNNNNNNNNNNNNNNNNNNNNNNNNNNNNNNNNNNNNCAAAUUGGAAGUGGUCAAACAGGAGAUGGCAAGAGUGAACAUCGAUAUUUCACUGGAAGGGCAGGCAUGAAAUCAACCAGUGGGUGAUUUGGAAUCAAGGAAGGGGAAUGUGUGUGUUUUAAGAUGAGUAAUCUUUUUAUUAAUUUUUUUUUCCUUGCUUAAAAACAGUCCAUUUCUGUAUCUGACUGGGUCAGGUCUUAGUUGGGGGACAGGGGAGCUUCCAUUGCUAUGCAUGGACUCUCCAGUGGCACAUGGGCUUCAGCAUAGGCUCCAGAGCACAAGGGCUCAGUAGUUACUACGUGUGGGCUUAGUUGCCCCAUGGCAUUUCGGAUCUUUUCCCCAACCAGGGAUUGAACCCAUGUCCCCUGCUUUGCAAGGAGGAUUCUUAAUCACUGGACCAUCAGGGAAGUCCCAGAAAGUUCGUAAUCCUGUACUCUGAUCUGAUUACUCCAGGGGAGAAAAUGUUGAAGAGAGAAGGAAAAGACUAGUCCAUCAUCCUUGAGACAGAAAUCCCAGCACACACAGAGGGACUCUCAUUUGACAGGAAGGACAUUGCUUCCAUUAGAGA
RNAcentral lists this long non-coding RNA (1382 nucleotides) under Capra hircus (goat). RNAcentral's name for it is "lncRNA (ENSCHIG00010007527.1)". Lineage: Eukaryota; Metazoa; Chordata; Mammalia; Artiodactyla; Bovidae. The record is from RNAcentral.